Unclassified non-coding RNA from Bradysia coprophila, 2411 nucleotides. Lineage: Eukaryota; Metazoa; Arthropoda; Insecta; Diptera; Sciaridae. The record is from RefSeq and is a predicted model, not a curated record.
AGAUAGAAUUUGAGAUAAAUGAUUAAGGUAUUAUUAUUACCAGUUGAAGUAGAGCACUUUUCGGCAGUAGACUCAAUUAGCUUGUUCCUUCGUAACGGUUGUGAUAUUAGUGUUCGAACACAAUGUAUCCUGUACGUUUAAAUAUCGCAAUCAUGUGUUUCAUGGCUUGUUUUAUAGCCUACAUGUUACGCGUAAAUUUAUCAAUAACAAUUUUGGCUAUGGUUGUGCCGCGAAAUUUUAACAAUUCGACAUUCGGAAACACCUCAACGUUGAUCAUACCGGAUUAUGGGCCCCGUUAUGCAUGGACUCCUUAUCAGGAAAGUUUACUGUUGGGAGCAUUCUUCUGGGGUUAUCUACUGACGUCAUGUCAGAGUGGGAUUCUUGCCGAAUGGAUUGGUGGGCGUGCUCUGGUGGGCUUUAGCUUAAUCUUAAGCUCAAUAUUUACAGCGAUUGGUCCGCUUGCAGCCUCACUAGAAAACUUUUGGUUCUUAUUCGCUUCACGUUUUCUAGUUGGAGUAUUUGGGGGUCCAAUUUACCCAUCAUUGCAUUAUUUAAUUGCUCACUGGGCACCACCUGACGAAAAAGGAAAAUUCGUUGCCAGCCUAAUGGGAAAUGCAUGUGGCACCAUCAUAACGUUGCCGUUAGUCAGUAUAUUAAUCGAAAAUAUGAAUUGGUCUGUUGGCUUUUACGUACCAGCUGCUAUCUCUUUCGUUACGGCCUUAAUCUGGUUUUAUUUGGUUGCUGACUAUCCAUCCACUCAUCCUCGCAUCGAUUUGAAAGAAAGUAAAUACAUCGAAGAUUCGCUGGCUGGAAAUGUGGUGAAGGAUAAAAGAGUAUUUCCGCCCAUUUUACCGAUGCUAAAGUCUUUGCCAUUGUGGUCACUGUUGCUAUUGCAUUACGGCAAUCUCUGGGGAUUAUUCUUUCUGCUGACUGCCGCUCCCAAAUAUAUGAGCGAAGUACUCAAAUUCAACUUAGCGAAAGCCGGAAUAUUGUCUGCGUUGCCGUAUUUGGCACGUAUGAUGUUUGGAUUUGGUUUCGGUGCUGUCGGUGACGCUUUAUUGAGGAAAAAAAUCUUAUCGAAAACAAUGAUACGGAAAUCAUUUUGUUUGUUCUCCCAUAUAAUACCUGGUUUAUUGUUGGUAACAUUGAGCUACGUGGGUAGCGUAUCAUCAGUUUAUGUAUGUGUCGCAAUCAUAACAUUAUCGUUAGGCUUCAAUGGAGCAUCAACUAUGACAAAUUUACAAAAUCCACAAGACUUAGCACCAAACUAUGCAGGUUCACUUUAUGGUAUUAUUAAUGGUAUCGGCAUCACCUCCGGUUUUAUAACGCCGUUAAUUGUAUCGUAUUUUACUGCUGAACAGAGUACGUCUGAGGAGUGGAAAUGGAUAUUUAUGGUUGGAGCAAUCUUUUAUAUAGCACCGGCCAUUCAGUUUUUGAUUUUCGGAUCAACUGAUGUACAAAAAUGGAAUAAUUCAGAGCGAGCUCCGGUAAAUGAUAAUGUUGAAGGGGGAACGAAGAAAGAGUAGAUUCAAUUUGAUGGAAAGUGGAAGUCGUUGGUGUACGACCUUGGCAUAAUUUCUACGAUUUCAAUGCGAGGACAGUCAUAAGUCUACCUUCAAGCCAAUUUUUUUGUUAGAUUGUUGUUCCAGACUAUUUAUUUUGAGUCUCUGUGUUAUUGAUUGCGUUUGAAUAUUUUUUAUGUUUUAAAUAAAAGUGGCUCUCACAACAACUAUUUUAAUUGUGUAACACACAUACAAAACAAACAAAAAAAAAUUUCCGAUACACUUCGUUCGUUUCGAUAAAUUAUGAAAAUACAAAUAUCAGUUGAAAAAAAUAACUUCGCGCAGAGCGAUGUCAAUAUUUUGUUUAUCGCUGUGACGAAAUCAACGUUCUUUGAUUAGUCAUUAUGUACCCCGUUCGUGUAAAUAUCGCUGUUAUGUGUUUCGUAGGAUGUCUAAUAACCUACAUGCUACGAGUAAAUCUUUCGAUUACCAUACUGGCUAUGAUUGUACCGCGAACAGCGACAUAUAAUAAUUCAACAGAUGGCAAUGGAACGAUUACAAAUGUACCAGAUUAUGGACCACGUUAUUCAUGGUCACCGUAUGAAGAAAGCUUAUUGCUGGGAGCGUAUUUCUGGGGUUAUCUAUUUACUUCAGCGCAGAGUGGUAUGUAAAAUGUGGAAAGUUGAGAUGUUGACCAGGUUAGUUUAGAAUUUAGAGAAUUUGAAAACUUUCCGAGCAUAAAGCUUCAUGAGAAACUUUUGAAAAGCUCCUUUGUUAACGAAAGACUGAGGAACUAAAAUUUCGAACCUGAAAUUAGUUUCAAAAGAUCAACUGAAAAUUUAUGUAAAAUUUCCGAACAAUGCAGGCAUAAUUGCUGAAUGGGUUGGUGGCCGGGCACUGGUUGGCUGU